Molecule: non-coding RNA, 643 nt
Organism: Camellia sinensis
Lineage: Eukaryota; Viridiplantae; Streptophyta; Magnoliopsida; Ericales; Theaceae
Source: RefSeq, a predicted model, not a curated record
CAGAGAUGUCUACACCUGUCUCCAUCAGCAAUUUUUCGGCCGACUUCUCCAACCCUCCUCCGCCCGACACAUCUUCAGCAACGCUGGGACAAUAGCUGCUGACAUAAUAGUGUCUGUAGUAGUACUUGUAGUCAUCGUCAUUAUCUCAUUGGCUUGGGCUAGGAGAAUGAGAAGAAGUGCAAUUGGUCCAAAAUUGCCAACAACUGUGGCUCCACCACAGACCUUGAAUGUGGUUCUAGUUUGGGAAAUCGAAGCACCAACAAUGGAGAGGUUCAUCCUAGACUUGGCGAAGAAGAAACCAGUUAGAUUCACAGCCCAACAACUAUGUAAUUUCACAACUAAUUAUUCUACGAGGUUGGGUUCUUGCGGUUUUGGGAUUGUUUACAAGGGUCAAUUUCCAAAUGGAGUUAAGAUUGCAGUUAAGGUAAUAGGAAAUCGAAUAAUAGAGGAGCAAAGGAACAAUUCAUGGCAGAGGUAAGCACUAUUGGAAGAACAUACCAUAUAAAUCUAGUUAGGCAAUACGGUUUUUGCCAUAACAAAUUUAUGAGCGCAUUGGUGUACGAGUACAUGGAAAAUCGUUCACUAGAUAAAUGUUGUACAAAUUGUGUGAUAACAUAAAACAAAUAGAUUUAUAUUGAACAAA